RNAcentral lists this long non-coding RNA (4382 nucleotides) under Sus scrofa (pig). Its description in RNAcentral is "lncRNA (ENSSSCG00015059257.1)". Lineage: Eukaryota; Metazoa; Chordata; Mammalia; Artiodactyla; Suidae. The record is from RNAcentral.
UGCACACAGAAAGGGCACUUCCUCCUGUCCUGGGCAUCACACAGGAGUCACAGUGGGCAGGAUUGGCUGUGAUGGAUGGAUUGGUGGAUGUCAGCUAGUAUUGGGCGGGUUUGGUGUAGAAGGAGGGUCCAUGGUGAAGAACGAGAAUCAGGAGGAACCAGGUGUGUCUCGGGGAAGACCCUAUAGUUCACUGUGGCUCCACUUGCAGUGCUGGGUUCCCUGCCUGGGUUCUGCGGAGGGUGGAGAGAGGGAGACCGAGGUCCAGACCCUCUGAGGGCUUCCUGCCCAGGGAGGAGGAGCUGGAUACGCAGGACCAGUGGAGAGAGGCCAGUCGAGGACAGCACCAGGUGCAGAAGACCCAGACUGUGGAGCGAUGGGGAGAGUCUGGGAGGGAGACCUACUAUCCACCACCCUGAGUGGCACUGUCUAUUCUUUUCCAUUAUAGUUUAUUAUCAGAUAGUGAAUAUCGUUCCCUGUGCUCUCCAGUAGGUCCUUGUUGUUUAUCUCCUUUAUAUAUAGUAGUGUGUAUCUAUUAAUCCCCACCUCCUAAUUUAUCUGUCACCUCCCGUUCUCCUUUGGGAACCAUAAGUUUUCCAUAUUGGUGAGUCUCGUGCCCUAUUUUUGAUUUAAGUAGAACCUUAGCCUCUGUCUCUAAAAGGAAAUAAGCAGAGCUCGCCACAGAAAAGUUCUGGAGAUAGUAUGGGAUCCACCAGAGGGGGCAGAUCCGAGGCCACUUGCUGUGUGCAGGAGUUGUUGUGACCUGUGUGGGUCAGUCUUUGGCCAAGGGUGCCCCAAGUGCUCCUGGCUCUCUGUGUGCACACCAAGCAGGUCCCGCUAGCCUGAAGGCUGUCCUCUCUCAGAGAGAGGGGUGCGGGCCGGGGGAGAGAAGAUGUGUUUGACUGUGGUACGGAGUCUACACAGACCUCUGCCUGGGAUGCUUCUUCUCAGCCUCACAGAAGCUGGCAGGGUGGGCAGUUGGAGGAAUGGUCCCUCCUCCAUUUCUUAUAAGGAUGCCAGAAGCAGCAGUUUCUUUCUAACCGUCUGCCCUGAGGGCUGACAUGUAUGGCUUCCGGGCUCCUUGGUGGUCACACUGGCCCACCAGCCAUUCUGAUGCUUCCUGCUAUCUUUAUUUCCCACAUUUCUGCUGCUGAGAGUUUUAUGCUCUCAGAUCUUACCAGAAACAUUCACCAUAAUCACAGGAUGCCUAUGACUAUGCACAUAUCCUUCUUGGAUAUAGUUAACUCUUUGUUUCUGUUAUUGUUGGCCCUACUACUGUUGGUUCCUUGCAGAUUGAUAAGGUGUAGGGUGGGGGACAUUGAGAACAAUGGAGAACGUUAAGAUCUAAAGAGCUUCUUAGUCAUGUCAGGAAAGGACAACUCGUACCCUCACUGCCCAGCCCCGUCUGAAACACAGGUCAGCAUCUGAGCGCACGCACACCUGCCCCCUCCAUCCUUUCUGUGCCGUGCGCAUCCUCAUCCCCUCCAGCCCUGCGCCAGCCCUGCCUGUGGAAGCUCAGACCAUGGGGUGAGUGAAUUGUUUCAAACUAGCCAAUCACAGGCCGCUUUAGAGAUGAAUGAAACUGAUGUUUGCUGGGGGCUGCAAUUCAGCAAGAAGACCCUCCCAGUGAUAAACCACCAGUAAGGACCCCACUCUUCUGCUCUACUGAGCAUCUGGUGGCUGGAAUUGGGGUUGAGGCAAAGAAGCUAGGAUAACUUGUGGACUGAGAUGAGAGUUUAAACAUUAUGAUUCAAGAUAUCAAGAGAUCUAUCAUCAGAUCUAAUUUGAACUCUUGGUAGAAGGUGGAGCUCAACCUCCUGGUUUGAGGAGAGCCUGUUUGACCACACGGGUCACGUGCCACAGAGCCGGCCCCACCACACAAUGCAAAUCUCAUGUUACAGGCAGCAUGAGACAUAAGAGUCCACUGACCAGUGCUUUAAGAUCCCAGCUGACAAUCACCAGCCAGUGGUACUGAGCACCAUGAGCUGGGUACCUCAUGUAUCAUGGUACACAGGAAAUGGUUUUAUUUUCCCUCCUUUUUCAGAUUAUAGUUCUGAGGCACAUAGAGGUUAAGUAGCUUGUCUGUGUCACAAAGCAUGAAAGGAGUAGAGCUGAAAUUCAAACCAGGUCUGUGAGACACAAUACCCUGUCCUAUGGCCAGAGCAUCUCUUUGUAGAAAUACAAAGAUGUAUUAGAUUUCCAGGGCUGCCAUAACAAAGUGCCACAAAACUGAGUGGGUUACAGAAAUGUAUUGUCUCACAGUCUGGGAGGCUGGAAGUCUGAAGUCAAGGUGUGGGCAGGGGAGUUCCCACUGUGGCCCAGUGUGUUAAGGAUCCAACUGCAAUGGCUCGGGUCACUGAGGAGGCAUAGCAGAUUAAUGGAUCUGGCAUUGAUACAGUUAUGGUGUAGGUCUCCACUGUGGCUCCGAUUCAAUCCCUGGCCCAGGGACUCCCAUGUGCUGCAGGUGUGGUCUGAAAAAACAAACAAAAAACGGUGAGGGCAGGGCUGCUCUCCCUCUGAAGGUGCCAAGGACAGAACUGGUCCAGGCCCCUCUCCUACCUUUUGGUGGCUUUGGGCAUCCCUCAGCUUACAGACACCGGAUUCCCAUCUCAGCCUGUGUCCUCCCAUGGUGGCAUCUGGCAUCCUCCCUCCAUGUCAGCACAUGCCCUCCCUCUCCGCAUGUCUGUGUCCAAAUUUCCCUUUUAUAGGGAUCCUGGUCAUCCUGGAUUGGGGACCACCUAAUGACCUCACCUUGACUAAAUCUGCAUAGACCCUGUUUCCAAGUAAGGGCCUAUUCUGUGUGGAACUGGGGACCAGGACUCCCACAUAUCUUUGGGGGCAUAAUUCAGCCUGUAACAGGGUGCAAAGUUGAAAACUGAUGAAAUAUGCAGGAAGAGUGACCAAUGCGUAUGGACAGAAGUAGGGCAAGGCAUUCUGGGUAGGAAGUCGAGCCAGGCACUCUGGGUAGGAAAUAGAGGCAGGCACUUGGGUAGAAGCAGAACCAGGCAGUUGGUAGGAAGUAGAGCCAGGCACUCAGGUAGAGGCAGAACCAGGCAGUCGGUAGGAAGUCGAGCCAGGCAUUCUGGAUAGAAGUAGAACCAGGCACUCUGGGUAGGAAAUAGAGGCAGGCAUUCUGGGUAGGAAGUAGACCCAGGCCUUCCCUAGGUCCAAGUUCCUGGAGGAAUUGUUGGUCUCCUGCCCUCCUGUCUUGUUCUCAGGGCAGGGAGUUCCCUCCCAGAAGUGGAUGAAAGUUUAAAGAAGUGACAGGUGGAGUGGGUGGAUCUUGACUCUUGGUUUGGAGAUGUGCUGUCUGUUAAACCACAGACUGUGCUGUGCUGGUGUCAGUGCCAGUGUCCUUGGAGGGGUCAGGGUUAAGGAACCACAGCUUCUUCUGGCUGAGGCCAGAAGACCAUGCCAGGGAGAUGAGGAGUAGGACUUCCAAAUUCCUAAUAAUACAGUGAUGCAGAUCACAAUCCUUGUUAAAACUAGCAGCAUGCAGUGUGAUGCUAAAAAUAAAAUAAUCAAUAAAUUCUGUAAUAAUACAUAAAUAUAAAAUGUUUUAUACCUAAAACAAAAGGAAUAAAGUUAGCUUUGUAUAAAACUCAUGGCCGUGGCCUUGCUUUCCUCUUAACCAGCACUAUCUCCAUGACCUUGGAGGUUCCUCCGUGGAACCCUAGGGUUCUGUCCCCUGGAACCACUACCAUCAGACACGAGCAGGAUUUGGAGGCAUUUGCAGACUCCCCCCCCCAUUUUCUCAUAGAAAGUUGGCGAGGGCAGAGCUCAGGUUCCUAUCCUCGGCUUAUACCACGCAUCUGAAACCAGCUCCAGCAUCCCUUGUCCCUUCCUGCCUCUCGCAGCCAAACACAGAAGCAGGAGAGAGCCUUGGGAUUGCUCACGAGAGCGGGGUGACAACACCCAGCCCCCAGAGGACCCUCCCCCUGACUUGUGUUUCCAGAGGAGGUCAGACAGGAAUGUGGACCGGGCACAUUGUAUUGUUUUUGGAGCAGUGGGUGAUAAAGGCGAUAUUUUUACAGGAAGAGAAGAAGCAGGGAAAAGAUCAAGAGCCUGAGAUGGCAGAAGAUGGAGAGGAAUAUUUAGUCGGGAGAAGUGAUGAUUACCCCUGUCUUCUGCCACUGUGGCAUGUGAAGGAAUUCAAAGUAUCUGGAGAAAAGCUUUCCUAUGCUAGAAAAAGGGUGGAAGGGAAUGAAACCCUUGGCGUUCCUUCAAAGUGCUGUUGAGUGCAUCAGGCACUGAAUGGGUGGGGUACCCACGUUUGUGCUUCCCUGAGCCUUCGUGGCAGUCGUCCCAGUCCAUGCUAUCCUCACAUCUUCUGAGAAGAAUGAUAUACAUUCGACCCCCUAUCCACUGGGGGAUUCAACAAACUU